This 1199-nucleotide unclassified non-coding RNA is filed under the name Dermacentor andersoni. Its description in RNAcentral is "uncharacterized LOC126534264". Lineage: Eukaryota; Metazoa; Arthropoda; Arachnida; Ixodida; Ixodidae. The record is from RNAcentral.
CACAGUGCUCGCACGAAAACACGCCAGCAAGUAAGCGAUCGUCCAUGAAGACCGGUGGCCUUAAGCGAUAUCCAUGGGGCUCGAGGCUUCUUCGACGUUUGCGGCCGAAGAUCCAACGCCGUGUCACUUGGCGCCAGCUGUGGGUGUUCGCGGGAUUCCGGAGCUGCCGACGGCGUUACCCUGGGCGUUACCACCAAAGGCCCGCACCGUUGCGGUUCACUAUGAAAGGAAAGGCGCAGUGGCCUCUGCAACCUGGCAUGUACGGGACACCUCAGCAGACGGCCGACUCAUCCUCCGAGACACGCGGCUUUUUUCAUACAGCGCUGAGAAGGCGACAGACAUCAGACGCCGCGACUUGCCGACUGCUCUGCGUCGAGACACGGGACGCCAAACGAAUUCCCGAUUGGAGACGCGUCGCCGCCUUGCCGAGCGAGAUUAUCGCGUCGCCCAGAGCAAACCAAUGCCAGAAGCGUCACAGACUGCUCAGGGAGGCAGAACGCGUCGACGUCAGAGGACGCCAGGACUGCUGUCGUCUGCUUCGGGGUACGACGACGAGGUUCAUCCUGUCUGUCUCCGCCAGCGGGCCGGCAGCCCUCGCGCGUCGAACCGGCCAUUCCCAACUGGAGCGCUUGCGAUUUGCAGUCGCUCGAGCCCGCAGCUCCGGAGGAAGUGCCCGCGUCGCUUCGCACUUCCACAACGGAUGCGUCGCGGCGACAUCCCAGCGUCUGCGCCUUCGUGUGCGCGAAACUCCGCACAAGUUGCCAAACGCCGUCAGGUCUCGCCGCUCUUGGCCACUGCUGUCGGAGGAUCCGGAAGUGGUUUCGGAUAUCACUGAUCAGCUGACACCACACGAAACCAAGAACGAGCUCCGACGAGGCUGCGUCCUGCGGUGCACGACAGACUGGUCCUCGGACUGUCAGCUCCGGGGCGAAGCAGGUCUUCGUCAGACGCUUUCGAAUGCCUGCGCGCUGCAGCUGGAAGGCUCAACGCAGGUGGUUUCAAGUCAUGCGGUGGGUGCAGGUUGCCAGCAGUGAAAGAAGCAGGCCCGCGUCGCGCAGGUGACGAAUCGACCAAGUCUGGGCCGAUGGUGCACUGCGCUGGUCAGCUCAAGUAAACUGUGCCGGAGUUUUGAUCGUAGAACAUUUAUGGAACGUUAUGUCUUCGUAGUUGCUUAGUUACAAUAAAUUGUUUGCGUAGCA